Molecule: ribosomal RNA, 750 nt
Filed under: Enterobacter asburiae
Lineage: Bacteria; Pseudomonadati; Pseudomonadota; Gammaproteobacteria; Enterobacterales; Enterobacteriaceae
Description: bacterial SSU rRNA
Rfam family: Bacterial small subunit ribosomal RNA
Source: RNAcentral
UGAAGCGGGGGAGGCAGCCAGAGUAGCUUGCUACUUUGCCGGCGAGCGGCGGACGGGUGAGUAAUGUCUGGGAAACUGCCUGAUGGAGGGGGAUAACUACUGGAAACGGUAGCUAAUACCGCAUAACGUCGCAAGACCAAAGAGGGGGACCUUCGGGCCUCUUGCCAUCAGAUGUGCCCAGAUGGGAUUAGCUAGUAGGUGGGGUAACGGCUCACCUAGGCGACGAUCCCUAGCUGGUCUGAGAGGAUGACCAGCCACACUGGAACUGAGACACGGUCCAGACUCCUACGGGAGGCAGCAGUGGGGAAUAUUGCACAAUGGGCGCAAGCCUGAUGCAGCCAUGCCGCGUGUAUGAAGAAGGCCUUCGGGUUGUAAAGUACUUUCAGCGGGGAGGAAGGCGUUGAGGUUAAUAACCUCAGCGAUUGACGUUACCCGCAGAAGAAGCACCGGCUAACUCCGUGCCAGCAGCCGCGGUAAUACGGAGGGUGCAAGCGUUAAUCGGAAUUACUGGGCGUAAAAGCGCACGCGGGCGGUCUGUCAAGUCGGAUGUGAAAUCCCCGGGCUCAACCUGGGAACUGCAUUCGAAACUGGCAGGCUAGAGUCUUGUAGAGGGGGGUAGAAUUCCGAGGUGUAGCGGUGAAAUGCGUAGAGUAUCUGGGAGGAAUACCGGGUGGGCGAAGGCGGCCCCCCUGGGCCAAAGACUGACGCUCAUGUGCGAAAGCGUGUGGAGCACAGGGGGAUUAUAUACCC